Molecule: ribosomal RNA, 482 nt
Filed under: Hansenula anomala
Lineage: Eukaryota; Fungi; Ascomycota; Saccharomycetes; Phaffomycetales; Wickerhamomycetaceae
Description: eukaryotic LSU rRNA
Rfam family: Eukaryotic large subunit ribosomal RNA
Source: RNAcentral
GGCCUCAGUACGGCGAGUGAGCGGCAAAAGCUCAAAUUUGAAAUCUAGCACCUUCUGUGUUCGAGUUGUAAUUUGAAGAUGGUAACCUUGGGUUUGGCUCUUGUCUAUGUUCCUUGGAACAGGACGUCAUAGAGGGUGAGAAUCCCGUCUGAUGAGAUGCCCAUUCCUAUGUAAGGUGCUAUCGAAGAGUCGAGUUGUUUGGGAAUGCAGCUCUAAGUGGGUGGUAAAUUCCAUCUAAAGCUAAAUAUUGGCGAGAGACCGAUAGCGAACAAGUACAGUGAUGGAAAGAUGAAAAGAACUUUGAAAAGAGAGUGAAAAAGUACGUGAAAUUGUUGAAAGGGAAGGGCAUUAGAUCAGACUUGGUGUUUUACGAUUAUCUUCUCUUCUUGAGUUGUGCACUCGUAUUUCACUGGGCCAGCAUCGAUUCGGGAUGGCAAGAUAAUAGCAGUUGAAUGUGGCUUCACUUCGGUGGGAGUGUUAUA